GUCAGUUUUCUUCCAUUCAGCACAAAGAUCUGAGCACGAUGACAUCUGCAGCGUUUGUCUUCAUUCUGACGUGUUUGGUCCUGGGGUCGAAUGGUCGUACUUCCUUGACAUAUCUUGGGAACUCAUCUACGUCUGUUCACCAUGAGAUACGAGAAACUGGAGAGAAUUUGACUCUGAAGUGUGUCUUCAUAGAUGACCGUUCUCCAUGGGUUUAUUGGUACAAACAUACUCUUGGGGAGAACCUAAAGCUCAUCUCCUCCUUCCAAAACUCUGCAACUAAUAGGAGUUUCCAUGGAGAGUUUAGGAACAAUACACGCUUCACACUGGAGGGAAAAAAGGGUAAAAAUGACUUAAUGUCAGAUCUGCAACUAUCAGACUCAGCCAUUUAUCACUGCAUGAUUAGCAAUGACGGCAAUAUGCAGAUUUUAAAAACCACCAGAGUCAGUGUGAAGGGUGGAAACAGGAUCAAGCUGGACUCUGGAGAUGAGGUGAGCUCUGGUGUCUUGGUGUAUUCUCUGAGUGGAGCUUUGAUAUCUGCAGUUAUCCUGAUAGUUGUCCUGGCCUUCUUAUUGUACAAGAUGAACAAAAGAAUCUGCUUCUUAUCUCAAGGUUAACAGAGGAGUAGACGACGUCUGUUAUGCCGCUGUGAACGUUAACAUGCCCAACACAUCAAGAAGACAGAGAAACACAGCCAGAGAUGAAUGUGUGUAUUCCAGUGUGAGGCAGUAGAAGUCACCAUGGUUCAUCUUUUACUACGUCACUUUAAACUGA
Cheilinus undulatus (humphead wrasse) is the source of this 771-nucleotide non-coding RNA. The record is from the annotation of a RefSeq genome assembly. NCBI's taxonomy places the organism in Eukaryota, Metazoa, Chordata, Actinopteri, Labriformes, Labridae.